This 497-nucleotide ribosomal RNA is filed under the name uncultured bacterium. Its description in RNAcentral is "partial 16S ribosomal RNA". It matches the Rfam family "Bacterial small subunit ribosomal RNA", at positions 28 to 507 of the family's 1533-position model. The record is from RNAcentral.
GAUGAACGCUGGCGGCGUGCCUAAUACAUGCAAGUCGAGCGAACAGAUGAGGAGCUUGCUCCUCUGACGUUAGCGGCGGACGGGUGAGUAACACGUGGAUAACCUACCUAUAAGACUGGGAUAACUUCGGGAAACCGGAGCUAAUACCGGAUAAUAUAUUGAACCGCAUGGUUCAAUAGUGAAAGACGGUUUUGCUGUCACUUAUAGAUGGAUCCGCGCCGCAUUAGCUAGUUGGUAAGGUAACGGCUUACCAAGGCAACGAUGCGUAGCCGACCUGAGAGGGUGAUCGGCCACACUGGAACUGAGACACGGUCCAGACUCCUCCGGGAGGCAGCAGUAGGGAAUCUUCCGCAAUGGGCGAAAGCUUGACGGAGCAACGCCGCGUGAGUGAUGAAGGUCUUCGGAUCGUAAAACUCUGUUAUUAGGGAAGAACAAAUGUGUAAGUAACUAUGCACGUCUUGACGGUACCUAAUCAGAAAGCCACGGCUAACUACGUG